ACCAUUGCAAAAUUCAAAAUUAAGCAAACAAACGCAACAAUGCGAGCCAAAACGAUCUGCCAUGAAAUAAAAUAAAAUAAAAAAUGAAAAACCGCCAGAUUCGCAUUUUUGAAGUAACAAUUAUUCCAUGGAUUCUAAUUUUCCCUUGGAUUUCUUGGCAAGGUAGACACAGGUGAGCAUCAAACACGAUAACAAAUCUUAUAAAAUAAAUCACGACCUAGAAAACAAUUUUUUGAAAGAAAAAAAAAACAACAUUUAGAAUUUUACAUUACGAAACAGAUCUGAGGAUAAUCAGAAUGCGAGAGAGAGAGAGAGAGAGAGAAUUUUACAAACCAGUCAAGAACGGUCGGAAUUUGCUAGACGGGAGAGCGUUUUGGUUUAUUCUCCCAAAUACUGGA
RNAcentral lists this long non-coding RNA (398 nucleotides) under Salvia miltiorrhiza (redroot sage). Its description in RNAcentral is "long non-coding RNA (SMIL_LNC000823)". Lineage: Eukaryota; Viridiplantae; Streptophyta; Magnoliopsida; Lamiales; Lamiaceae. The record is from RNAcentral.